This 253-nucleotide ribosomal RNA is filed under the name uncultured prokaryote. Its description in RNAcentral is "partial 16S ribosomal RNA". It matches the Rfam family "Bacterial small subunit ribosomal RNA", at positions 524 to 776 of the family's 1533-position model. The record is from RNAcentral.
GACAGAGGUGCCGAGCGUUAGGCGGAAUCACUGGGCUUAAAGCGUGUGUAGGCGGACCGUUAAGUACCUUGUGAAAUCCCACGGCUCAACCGUGGAACGGCUGGGUAGACUGGCGGUCUUGAGCGGCCUAGGGGCAGAUGGAACAGACGGUGGAGCGGUGAAAUGCGUAGAUAUCGUCUGGAACGCCAAAGGUGAAGACAGUCUGCCGGGGGCCUGCUGACGCUGAGACACGAAAGCCAGGGGAGCGAACGGG